RNAcentral lists this ribosomal RNA (465 nucleotides) under Vreelandella stevensii. RNAcentral describes it as "partial 16S ribosomal RNA". It matches the Rfam family "Bacterial small subunit ribosomal RNA", at positions 338 to 795 of the family's 1533-position model. The record is from RNAcentral. Lineage: Bacteria; Pseudomonadati; Pseudomonadota; Gammaproteobacteria; Oceanospirillales; Halomonadaceae.
CCUACGGGUGGCAGCAGUGGGGAAUAUUGGACAAUGGGCGAAAGCCUGAUCCAGCCAUGCCGCGUGUGUGAAGAAGGCCUUCGGGUUGUAAAGCACUUUCAGUGGGGAAGAAAGCCUUGGGGCUAAUACCCUCGAGGAAGGACAUCACCCACAGAAGAAGCACCGGCUAACUCCGUGCCAGCAGCCGCGGUAAUACGGAGGGUGCGAGCGUUAAUCGGAAUUACUGGGCGUAAAGCGCGCGUAGGCGGUCUGAUAAGCCGGUUGUGAAAGCCCCGGGCUCAACCUGGGAACGGCAUCCGGAACUGUCAGGCUAGAGUGCAGGAGAGGGAGGUAGAAUUCCCGGUGUAGCGGUGAAAUGCGUAGAGAUCGGGAGGAAUACCAGUGGCGAAGGCGGCCUUCUGGACUGACACUGACGCUGAGGUGCGAAAGCGUGGGUAGCAAACAGGAUUAGAUACCCUUGUAGUC